This 360-nucleotide ribosomal RNA is filed under the name Pseudoalteromonas agarivorans. RNAcentral's name for it is "partial 23S ribosomal RNA". It matches the Rfam family "Bacterial large subunit ribosomal RNA", at positions 2591 to 2925 of the family's 2925-position model. The record is from RNAcentral. Lineage: Bacteria; Pseudomonadati; Pseudomonadota; Gammaproteobacteria; Alteromonadales; Pseudoalteromonadaceae.
AAGUGGUACGCGAGCUGGGUUUAGAACGUCGUGAGACAGUUCGGUCCCUAUCUGCCGUGGGCGUUUGAGAAUUGAGAGGGGUUGCUCCUAGUACGAGAGGACCGGAGUGAACGAACCGCUGGUGUUCGGGUUGUCAUGCCAAUGGCAUUGCCCGGUAGCUACGUUCGGAACUGAUAAGCGCUGAAAGCAUCUAAGCGCGAAGCAGGCCUCGAGAUGAUUUCUCACUAGACUUUUAAAGUCUCUGAAGGGCCGUUGAAGACUACAACGUUGAUAGGCAAGAUGUGGAAGUGGUGUGAGCCAUUAAGCUAACUUGUACUAAUUACCCGUGAGGCUUAACCAUACAACGCCAAACGCGUUUUG